AGGAAUUCUAAAAAAACAAUCCAAAGGAAAAAUGUUUUGCAAUUUGACGCUCCGCCCACCCAGUGCAUAUCGGUUGGUGGAAAAAACAAGGAAAUGGGACGUACCCGGUAGCAGUGACUUUUUUUCUAUAAAGUCUGCUGUUUGUGGCGUAAACAUUGCUACAAGAGCAGAGGAGUGCAGUAAACCUAUCAGGAUACACCCGUCUAUCAAUAGAGGUACAAUGAUGAACCGCUGUGGUCUGCUAACUCUCCAGAAGGAACCAGGUACUGACAGAAAGUAAAGGGGCUUCUGUUUACUCUCCAGCCUCUUUUCAUUCAUCUAAAAUUCAAAUGUAAUGACUUUUUUAUUUGUAGUAGUGGCUCAUAAUAAUAAAUGAUUAUUUCCCCAUGACUGAGACAAUACUCAACAAACCCAUUUCAAUAGCUGGAUGGUCAUUUGCUCUUUAGGUUAUCAACAUGAAAAUUGCAUUGAGGUUCAUGGCCAUUUUCACCUUCUGCUGACCAAAGUAUACAUAAGAAAAUGUUGUGCUUCUCCCACACCCACUGGUGAAAAGUUCUGGAUGGCAUCAAGCUUACUCUGUGAAGUUGAUCAUAUGCAUCUUGGACAGUAGUGUACUGCUGCAUAUGGCUACGAUUAAUGCAGAGUAUAUCCCUGUGAUACAAAAGCACAGAAGAAAAAUGAUGGAUACAA
Long non-coding RNA from Haplochromis burtoni (Burton's mouthbrooder), 690 nucleotides. RefSeq lists it as uncharacterized. The transcript is spliced from 2 exons. NCBI's taxonomy places the organism in Eukaryota, Metazoa, Chordata, Actinopteri, Cichliformes, Cichlidae. The record is from RefSeq and is a predicted model, not a curated record.